AUUCCUUUUCCACACCAUGUGGGAUAAAACAGAUUUAUUCUGGUAAAGAAGUCCUUGUUGUUCCAGAUAUAACAUCUACGGGGCUGAAGUUAUGUUUAGAAACCAAUAACCAGAUAAAAGAGCUUGUUUGUGGAAGUCAGCCGGAUUUAAAGGAAUUUUACCAACAGAAAAAUGAGCUUUCAACAGAAAAUUAAAGCCACCAGGAUGAUUAAACAGAGAAGCUGGAAAAGUGUUCCAGAUGCUGUCGGGUUCUUCAGAAAUUCCAGAAUCCGUUUCAUUUUAAAUGUGUUGUUUAGGGAGUUAAAGUCCAGAACCUCUAGACCUCCUUGUUCCCUACAACCUCUGAUGAUGUCUUUCCUGAGAUAACGGG
Melanotaenia boesemani (Boeseman's rainbowfish) is the source of this 370-nucleotide long non-coding RNA. RefSeq lists it as uncharacterized. The transcript is spliced from 3 exons. The record is from RefSeq and is a predicted model, not a curated record. NCBI's taxonomy places the organism in Eukaryota, Metazoa, Chordata, Actinopteri, Atheriniformes, Melanotaeniidae.